This 253-nucleotide ribosomal RNA is filed under the name uncultured bacterium. RNAcentral's name for it is "partial 16S ribosomal RNA". It matches the Rfam family "Bacterial small subunit ribosomal RNA", at positions 524 to 776 of the family's 1533-position model. The record is from RNAcentral.
UACGUAGGGCGCAAGCGUUGUCCGGAAUUAUUGGGCGUAAAGAGCUCGUAGGCGGUCUGUCGCGUCGGAUGUGAAAGCCCGGGGCUUAACCCCGGGUCUGCAUUCGAUACGGGCAGACUAGAGUGUGGUAGGGGAGAUCGGAAUUCCUGGUGUAGCGGUGAAAUGCGCAGAUAUCAGGAGGAACACCGAUGGCGAAGGCAGGUCUCUGGGCCAUAACUGACGCUGAGAAGCGAAAGCAUGGGGAGCGAACAGG